Molecule: ribosomal RNA, 484 nt
Filed under: uncultured bacterium
Lineage: Bacteria
Description: partial 16S ribosomal RNA
Rfam family: Bacterial small subunit ribosomal RNA
Source: RNAcentral
AUUGAACGCUGGCGGUAUGCUGUACACAUGCAAGGCGAGCGGCUGCACGGGGGCAACCCUGGUGGUGAGCAGCGAACGGGUGAGUAAUACAUCGGAACAGGCCCAGUAGUGGGGGAUAACACUUCGAAAGAAGUGCUAAUACCGCAUACGUCCUGAGGGGGAAAGCGGGGGAUCGCAAGACCCCGCGCGAUUGGAGUGACCGAUGUCAGAUUAGCUAGUUGGUGGGGUAAAGGCCUACCAAGGCAACGAUCUGUAGCUGGUCUGAGAGGAUGAUCAGCCAAACUGGGAGUGCGACACGGCCGAGACUCCUACGGGCUGCAGCAGUGCGGACUUUUGGACCAUGGGGGCAACCCUGAUCAGGCCACUCCGCCUGACUGCAGAUGGCCUUCCGGUUGUAAGACUCUUCUGGCAGGACCGAAACGCUGAGCUCUAAUCUAGCCUGAUAAUGACGUCACCAGCAGAAGAACCACCGCCUCACUACGUC